This 78-nucleotide transfer RNA is filed under the name Levilactobacillus namurensis. RNAcentral's name for it is "tRNA-Asp(gtc)". It matches the Rfam family "tRNA". Rfam says of the family: Transfer RNA (tRNA) molecules are approximately 80 nucleotides in length. Their secondary structure includes four short double-helical elements and three loops (D, anti-codon, and T loops). The record is from RNAcentral. Lineage: Bacteria; Bacillati; Bacillota; Bacilli; Lactobacillales; Lactobacillaceae.
UGGUCUGUUGGUCCAGUUGGUUAGGACGCCUCCCUGUCACGGAGGAGAUCACGAGUUCGAGUCUCGUACAGACCGUCC